CAGAGAAUUAAAAAGAAAAUUUUAUAUUUGAGUGCUAUUUCUUUUGUGGCACCGAAACUUUAUAACAAUUUCAGGGCUCACCCUUGAUUACAUUUCCCCCCAGGGGCGGUCUCUGGUUCUCUCUCCUGAGGAGGCGCACCCCGCCCCCUUGUGGUGGCCUCAGGGGUGAGAAAUCAGGACCCACCCAGUGCGAGGAAUAACCGGAGCUCUCUGCAACGCUGAAAGAAACUGGCCAGCAACCUAGCUUAAAGGAUCCUCACAUCUGCGGCGACGACUCUGUGCACAGACCAAGGAAGGAGAAGCCGCCGGAGCCAGUAAAGUACUCCCUUGGUGGUCAAAUUCCGGAGGGCUAAAUGUGUGUGUGCAUGAAUGAUCACAAACAACCCUACCUGCGGUGCUGUUCAUGUGGAUGGUGACAAGACCUACUGCUGGGCAGAAGGUCUUUUAGCACAGGUGCUGCCUUUGGACUUUCCAGUGCCUCAGCAUCAGCCUGGGGAUCAUGUUCUCAUCAAAGAAGGGAAAGAAGGGAAACUCGAGCCAGCCCGGGAAGGACCCUACCUCGUGCUGCUAACCACUGAGACUGCUGUUCGUAAGGUUGGAAAGGGAUGGACACAUCACACAUGAGUCAAGCAAGCACCAUUAUCCUCAGAAUCAUGGGCCAUUGUUCCUGGAUCAAGCCCUACCAAAUUAAAGCUAAGGAAAGCUUAGUCUAUCUAUCUUUUCCUUUCCCUUCCUUACCCAGUGCUUAUAUCCAUUACUAUCCCUACCACUAGCAACUCUAACCCCACUUUAGAACGCUUCUGUGGUUUAGGAGCAGAGGUCACUGGAAAGGAUCCUAUGGGCUUCUUUAAGGUGGGCUUUGUUCUCCCUCCUCCACCUCCUAUGGCUGCCCCUUUCCCAAACCUACAAAAUCAAACUAUGACUCACCUCAUGCCAAAUGACAAAAGCAAGGUCCCGGUAGUAGAAAUAUGAGACCUAAGGCAAACCAUAGCCAUUAAAACAGGGUAUAAAAAUGUAAAUGCCUGGUUAAAAUUGAUUAAAUAUUCUGUCCACAGGUUAAACAAAGGCAAUUUUUAUGCUUGUGCACAUGACAGGCCAGAAGCCCAGACUGUCCCCUUUCCACUAGGGUGGUCCUCUAGUUGACUGGGCAUGGCCUGCAUGGCAGAUCUUCCCCAGGAUUAUUCAGCCUGGGGUAACAAGUCGUGCCAAGCUCUCUCUCUGCUAUAUCCCAAAGUUCAGCACCCUGCGGGUCAGCCCCCAAGGGCCAUCCAGCUUCCAUCUCCCAACACUAAGUUCACUUCCUGUCUCUCAGGACCGGGAGGAAACUUAGCGUUCCUUGGAGACCUGAAGGGAUGCAGUGAGAUUAAGAAAUUUCAAGAGCUUACCAAUUAGCCCUUAUGCAUCCCUGAGCAGAUGUGUAGUGGUAUUAUGAUGGACCUUUACUGGACACUCUGCCGAGUAACUGAAGUGGCACUUGCUUUAGUCCAGUUGGCUAUCCCUUUCACCCUGGCAUUUCAUCAACCAGAGAAAGGAAAAAUAAGAUAUCAUAAAGCAAAAGAAGCCCCUUAUGGGUCUUUUGACUCUCACAUCUAUUUAGACAUAAUUACAGUCCCACAGGGAAUACCAGAUCAAUUUAAAGCCUGAAAUCAAAUAGCUGCAGGAUUUGAGUCAAUAUUUUGGUGGGUGACAAUAAAAUGUAAAUUGGAUAAACUACAUCUAUUACAACCAACAGCCAUCCAUUAACUACACUAGAGAUGCUGUUAAAGGAAUAGCUGAGCAAUUAGGGGCUACUAGCCAGAUGGCUUGGGAAAAAUAGGAUAGCCUUAGACAUGAUAUUAGCAGAAAAAGGAAGAAUUUGCAUCAUAAUUAAAAAUCAAUGUUGUACCUUCAUCCCAAACAACACCGCCCCUAAUGGAAGUAUAACAAAGGCAUUGCAAGGUGUGACUGCUCUAUCCCAUGAGUUAGCCAAUAACUCGGGGUAAAUGACCCCUUUACAGGAUGGCUAGAAAGGUGGCUCAGUAAAUGGAAAAGAAUAAUAGCCCCAAUUCUUACUUCCAUCACAGCCAUCAUAGGUGUGCUUAUUCUUGUCGGGUGUUGUGUCACACUAAGGAAGGAGACCGCUACAACUCCUGCUGCCCUCCUCCCACCACCUUGCCUAGUUCACAAGACAGGACGAAAGAGAGAAAGCAAAAAGCUGGAAAGAAGCAAAAGUAAGAUAAAUAGCCAGACAACCUUGGCACCACCACCUGGCCCUAGGAGUUAAAAAAGUAAUAAUAAUAACAUCAACCCCAGACCUAAACUACUUGUGUUAUCUGUAAAUUCCAGACAUUGUAUGAAAAAGCAUUGCAAAACUUUCUGUUCUGUUAGCUGAUGCAUGUAGCCCCCAGUCACGUUCCCCACGCUUGCUCGAUUUAUCACAACCUUUUCAUGUGGACCCCUUAGAGUUGGAAGCCUUUAAAAAGGCCAAGAAUUUAGUUUUCAGGGAGCUCAGCUCUCAAGAUGCAAGUCUGCCGAUGCUCUCAGCCAAGUAAACCUCUUCCUUCUUUAAUCCAGUGUCUGAGGAGUUUUGUCUGCGUUGGUGCAGAGGCUUAUAAAAACGGCACUUCCUAAAACCUCCCUUAACUAUCCUCCACCUUAUCCAGAGAAGCUUCUUCUUUUGGAAAAUCAAGCAGAACAACUAAGCCAAGACAUGUUAAAGAAGUUUGAAGGGAAAGAGCUGUAAGGAAAUGCAAGAGGAGAGAUUGUUAGAUAUGAGUUCUAAAUUUCUCUUCAAAGAAUCAAUAUGUCAGUAUGUUCCAUUCUUUGCCUUUUACUUGUAAACUUAACUUCCUCGUAAAGCAACCAUUUUCGAUUACCUGCUCCACCCUGACUCAUUCCGAUUACCUGCUCUGCCCUGAAUUCUGAUUUCCUGCUCUGCCAUAACAAUUUUUCCCGCCAAAUCACUCACCCUGUCACUCUCUUUAAAUUAACCAAUUGGCAUUAGUUUAGCCUGUGCGGUCUAACCCUAGCCAAUAGGGGAACAACACAGCAGCAGAGGCCACGUGCAUCAGGGAUAAGAACCCCUUCUCCCUUGUCCAAGUGUGCGCUCGCCAUUGCUCCAUCUAUAAGGGCGCACCCUUCUAUAAAAGUACAUUGCCU
RNAcentral lists this long non-coding RNA (3138 nucleotides) under Pan troglodytes (chimpanzee). RNAcentral's name for it is "long non-coding RNA NONPTRT009386". Lineage: Eukaryota; Metazoa; Chordata; Mammalia; Primates; Hominidae. The record is from RNAcentral.